This 253-nucleotide ribosomal RNA is filed under the name uncultured bacterium. RNAcentral's name for it is "partial 16S ribosomal RNA". It matches the Rfam family "Bacterial small subunit ribosomal RNA", at positions 524 to 776 of the family's 1533-position model. The record is from RNAcentral.
UACGUAGGGUGCAAGCGUUAAUCGGAAUUACUGGGCGUAAAGCGUGCGCAGGCGGUUUUGUAAGUCUGUCGUGAAAUCCCCGGGCUUAACCUGGGAAUGGCGAUGGUGACUGCAAGGCUAGAGUUUGGCAGAGGGGGGUAGAAUUCCACGUGUAGCAGUGAAAUGCGUAGAGAUGUGGAGGAACACCGAUGGCGAAGGCAGCCCCCUGGGUCAAGACUGACGCUCAUGCACGAAAGCGUGGGGAGCAAACAGG